This 136-nucleotide ribosomal RNA is filed under the name uncultured eukaryote. RNAcentral's name for it is "partial 18S ribosomal RNA". It matches the Rfam family "Eukaryotic small subunit ribosomal RNA", at positions 1299 to 1458 of the family's 1831-position model. The record is from RNAcentral.
UGGUGGAGUGAUUUGUCUGGUUAAUUCCGUUAACGAACGAGACCUUAACCUGCUAACUAGUCGCUUCUUCACAAAAGGGGUUGACUUCUUAGAGGGACUACGUAUUUUAAAUACGGGGAAGUGUGAGGCAAUAACA